RNAcentral lists this long non-coding RNA (480 nucleotides) under Lactuca sativa (garden lettuce). Its description in RNAcentral is "long non-coding RNA (LSAT_LNC009689)". The record is from RNAcentral. Lineage: Eukaryota; Viridiplantae; Streptophyta; Magnoliopsida; Asterales; Asteraceae.
GAGUACAAUCCCAAAAUCUCAUAGUGCGGAAAUCUGGUGUGCAUGUGAUGUGCAACUACCGCGCCGACUCCUUCCCCUUCGCUGAAGAGGUACCUGAAACAAAACUGAAAAUUGUAAGAAUGAAGCUGAGUGAGUUCCCCCAUCAUACCACAUACACUACAUAACACAUAUAUUGUCAGGCAUAUCUGGGUGCCUGACCCACCCGUUCGGUCCUUUCGACCGAUAACCUUGCCGAGCAUAUCUGGGUGCUGGCCUACCCAUUCGGUCCUUUCGACCGGUGACCUUGCCAAGCAUAUCUGGGUGCUGGCCUACCCCUUUGGUCCUUUCGACCGGUCUCUGGGGACUACUUCACCACUCUCACUAACACAUAAUACCAUAACAUAUAGCAUAACAUAAGCUGUCUAGCAUAACUGGGUACUAACUACACCUUCGGUCCUUUCGACUGGUACUGGGGUCUAUCCUACCCCUCCUAUCACAUAU